CGCUGCCCGCUCCGCUCGGCUCGGCUCGGCUCGGCUCGGCUCCGCUCCCCCGUCUCGUCGGUUAUUUCGGGAUCUUCACAGGAAGCGAUUAGGUUGCCAUGGAGAGAGGUGUCUCCAAGGGACCCGGCGCUCCAGCUCGCUCCCGGCGAAUGCCACCCCCGGACCGCUCUGACCCAACCUUACAAGCCCUGCUUCUCCUUUAAUCCUGCUAUAUGAAGAAGCCCAGACUGCUAGCUCUGAGAAUACAGAUUCAUAGCCUUUCCCUGCUUCCCUGGGCCACUGUGAUCUUCAGCCUGUCCUGAAGACGUGUCUGUUGGGUAAAAUGUGUCUCGGUCACGUUUUACCCGACCAAGUGCAGGAGAUGCUCCUUACCACCUCCUUCACUGAGGACCCCGGGGCAGGACAGCUUCUGACAAUGCCCUGAACCGGUGGCUCCGGGGCACUUUUCUAGGAGAGAUGACUGAGCGCGCCCACGCGUACGUACCAACGGAAGCUGACCAGAGAAGCCUCUUUGUUCAGCCCCAGAUUUCCGAGGCAAAUGAGACUGAGACAUCCCAAAGGUAAGGGGACAUCAGAGCAUGUGAAUGAAAACGUGCUCUGCCGGCACAGGGCUGAGGGUCUGGGUGCCUUCCCCUGUCAGGGCACCUCUUUGCCUCCCUGGCCCAGGCACUCAGAGGCGUUUGGCUCCUUCUGCCUGGAAUUAGUUUUGCGUGACGUCCAUUUAAUUCUAGUGGCAUGGCCACUAACGUUAGAAGUUCGGUUUUCCACGCCGACCAUUGCUGUCUGCACCGCUCCCUCCUUCUGUCAGUAGCCUCAGCGUGGAGACCGAGCACUGAAGGGUCUCAGGGACUGAAGGGACCCUGAGAAGGGGUAGGGACAAUACAUGCGGCUGUUCAAAUGAGCUCGGAGCAGCCUCUCACGAGGAGACGCCAUGACCUAACUCCCCAAGGCAGCCACGGGUUGUAUUUUCCAGCUCUACAAUUGCGUUUGGAGCAGUACAGCACCCCAAAGGAGCCUUCUCCACGACUCAGCCACAGCAGCUGCGUGAGAAGAACUAGAGUCAAAGCAAGUGAUGAGAAGAGAGCUGCUGAUACUGGCAAGUAAAACCUUAACAAACUUAGACUUUACCCAGACGAAGAUUUCAAGAUGUUAUGUUUAUUUCAAGAUGUUACGCUUACAGAAGCCUGGCAAGGCGCAAGUCAACUGCCUUUAAUACGUGCGAAACUGACCAAGCUGAAGACCGAUUCCCUUGCGGGCAACCACGUGCUGGAGUGCAAACUUGCCCUGACAGCGCUAAGAUUUUAACACGCUAAAACCGUGUUGCCUGCACAGACUAUAUUGGGCUCCCAUCAAUUUGUUGCCUCCUUUGCUUUCAGGGAAAAACCUCCCUGACUUCGAAAGAAGCCAGCCAUGAGGAAGUUGGUGCUGGAUUGGAAACUCUUGGCCGAAGAGCUUAAUGCUGCUUAUUGAAAGGAGUGUUUGCGGACUGCACUCCUCCCAGUCCCCCUCGCAACUCACCUCCACCCUCCACAUGAUUUAUACAAGACAAGAAGAGCGAUGAAGGUUUUUUCCAAAAUGACCCUCACUUUUUAGUCCCAUCGUCAUAAAAACAGCUCUUUCACCUAGCACGGGGAAGCGUGCCCUCGGUGAUGCCUCCUGAUCGCAUUACACUGACUCAUUUGCUCACGAAUUGAUACUUAAAGCAUACCAUAAACAUUUCUAUCCUUG
Harpia harpyja (harpy eagle) is the source of this 1728-nucleotide long non-coding RNA. RefSeq lists it as uncharacterized. NCBI's taxonomy places the organism in Eukaryota, Metazoa, Chordata, Aves, Accipitriformes, Accipitridae. The record is from RefSeq and is a predicted model, not a curated record. The transcript has 2 exons.